AGCAGCCGCGGUAAUUCCAGCUCCAAUAGCGUAUAUUAAAGUUGUUGCAGUUAAAAAGUUCGUAGUUGAAUUUCGGGAUCAAUACGUUGGUCGUGCUUUCGGGUACGUACUGGCGUCAUUGGUUUCUCUCUUCUGACGAACCAUGAUGUCAUUAAUUUGGUGUUAUGGGGAGUUAGGACUGUUACUUUGAAAAAAUUAGAGUGUUUAAAGCAGGCUCACGCUUGAAUACAUUAGCAUGGAAUAAUGAAAUAGGACGUUUGAUUCUAUUUUGUUGGUUUCUAGGAUUGACGUAAUGAUUAAUAGGGAUAGUUGGGGGCAUUAGUAUUCAAUUGUCAGAGGUGAAAUUCUUGGAUUUAUUGAAGACUAACUACUGCGAAAGCAUUUGCCAAGGAUGUUUUCAUUAAUCAAGAACGAAAGUUAGGGGAUCGAAGACGAUCAGAUACCGUCGUAGUCUUAACCAUAAACUAUGCCGACUAGGGAUCGGAUGAUGUCAAUUUUUUAAUGACUCAUUCGGCGCCUU
This 520-nucleotide ribosomal RNA is filed under the name uncultured Glomus. Its description in RNAcentral is "SSU rRNA". It matches the Rfam family "Eukaryotic small subunit ribosomal RNA", at positions 569 to 1089 of the family's 1831-position model. Lineage: Eukaryota; Fungi; Glomeromycota; Glomeromycetes; Glomerales; Glomeraceae. The record is from RNAcentral.